AGGUGCCCCUGAGCCGAGGAACACAGGCGGUAGUCGUAGGGAGGGGAAGGGGAGCCCCAGGAGACGGCAGCAGCAUGGGCGGGCGGCCCUCGAGCCCUCUGGACAAGCAGCAGCGGCAGCACCUAAGGGAAGCUGCCCCGAGUCCGUGAGCACCGAGGACCCCUGACCCAGCUUCGGGGCCACCCACCCCGGUGGCAGCCAAUCUUCUGUGUUCUGCGUGGGGACGGCCGCCUAGAGUGGUUCAGCCACAAGGAGUUGGGACACAGAAGCCACAGUUCAGACCUAUCCCAAGUUGGUUCUCUGGGUACCUUUUGUAGGAAUAUGAAAACGGGGGCCAGUGCCUUGGCUCCACAGCUCUGACGGGAUACACACUCCUGACUUCCCAGCGAGAAUAUCUCCGCCUUUUGGACGCUCUCUGCCCUGAAUCCUUGGGAGACCAUACUCAGGAAGAGCCUGACUCCCUCUUGGAAGUGCCUGUGAACUUCCCGCUGUUCCUGCAGCACCCCUUCCGCCGGCACCUCUGCUUCUCUGCAGCCACCAGGGAGGCACAGCAUGCCUGGAG
Molecule: small RNA, 562 nt
Filed under: Pongo abelii (Sumatran orangutan)
Lineage: Eukaryota; Metazoa; Chordata; Mammalia; Primates; Hominidae
Description: processed transcript
Source: RNAcentral